This 285-nucleotide ribosomal RNA is filed under the name uncultured bacterium. RNAcentral's name for it is "partial 16S ribosomal RNA". It matches the Rfam family "Bacterial small subunit ribosomal RNA", at positions 337 to 619 of the family's 1533-position model. The record is from RNAcentral.
GCCUACGGGGGGCAGCAGUGGGGAAUAUCGGUCAAUGGGCGGGAGCCUGAACCAGCCAAGUCGCGUGAGGGACGACGGUCCUAUGGAUUGUAAACCUCUUUUGUCGGGGAACAAAGGCGUCCACGGGUGGGCGGAUGAGUGUACCCGAAGAAAAAGCAUCGGCUAGCUCCGUGCCAGCAGCCGCGGUAAUACGGAGGAUGCGAGCGUUAUCCGGAUUUAUUGGGUUUAAAGGGUGCGCAGGCGGGAGAUCAAGUCAGCGGUAAAAUGUCGGGGCUCAACCCCGGC